UGAAUGCAGGACUGAGUGUGGGAAAUGAUAAGAUGUGUGCUUUUUUUUUAUGCAAAUGAUGUAGCGGUCAUGAGUGAAUUGGCAGAUGAGCUUCAAAGUUUGUUUGAUGUUGUAGAUGGAAGGGGCUUUGGUGUGAGAUUUGGCAGUGAGGAAAGCAAGGUAAUGAUAGUGAAUAGAUCAGAGGUUGAAGGAAAUUCAGCGUGGAGACUGGGAAGGAAUGGGUUGCAACAGACAGAUGAAUACAAGUACCUGGGGAUGUGAGUCAGCAGGUAGAAUGAGAAGAAUGAAUGCAGGACUGAGUGUGGGAAAUGAUAAGAUAUGUGUGCUUUUUUAUGCAGAUGAUGUAGUGGUCAUGAGUGAAUUGGCAGAUGAGCUUCAAAGUUUGUUUGAUGUUGUAGAUGGGUAUGGAAGGGGCUUUAGUGUGAGAUUUGGCAGUGAGAAAAGCAAGAAGUUGCCGAUAUAAAAGCCUGGCUCAGGAAUAGUCCCGAGCCACCUGUAGCAUCAAGAUCAGAAUCAAGAUUGUGAAAUAUUAAAUAUUAAAUAUAAAUAUGAAGCUAGGACAUCCACUGGCCAAGUGGAUGAGGGCGAGGCAGGUGUGUUGUGUGGACGAGGCAUGACGAGGAGGACCCACUGAUGUCGGUGAACAUGGAAGAGAAGAGACUAACCAGGCCCAAAUUGAUGAUAACUUCAGAAAAGAACUGCUUGGAAAUGCCAAGAACCUGCACAACAGCACUUUUCCGAGGUUUACAACAACAGAGACUUGACUUACAAACAAAGGCAAGAACUAAAAGCCAGACGUGCUGAAAGGACAAACAAGACUGGAACAGCAGGACCCUCUCAUCCUAGUAAAAGGAAGAUAUGUCAACCCCCAAACAGGGCUGAUCAUAUUACUACCAGGAGAUCCAAAACUAGGAGUACUUGUAUUCAACUUGUUUGAAAUUAAUUACAUACGUGCAAUAUUUGUCUUGCUUUCCAUGCUAUCUUCAUAAAUUUCAAUUAAACAUCCUGAACCACACUUACAUAUUUCUAAUUGAUACUUAACUUCUUCAAUAUGUUGAAAUAGCAUCAAAUUUGAUGCUGGAUAAAAAAAACGCUAAACUGCUCAACACAAAAUUAAGGUACUAGAUUUAUAUAAAAAGUGCUAGAUCUAGCACAAAAAAGUGCUGACUUGGCAACUCUGUCUACCACAUUUUGCUGCAGGGUUCAUGCCAUCUGUGAUCCCUCGUAUUCACAUCCACACACUGACCUAGCUCAGAAGAGAUCACCACCCAGGCUUUCAUCAUACCACUUUUCAUACAUCAGGGCCUCUUUCUCCUUGCACCAUUCCAGAGUCUUCUUUUGUUCCAUCUUCAUUCACUCCUAAACACUUCACUGCUUUAUCUCUUUUUUCCAUUCAUUCAGUCCUACACACUUCACUGCUCUAUCUAUCUCACUCUUCCACUUUCUUACAUACCACUCAAAUCCCUCUCUGUUUCUCCAGUCAUGCAGAACCUGUCUCCCUUUAAAAGUCAGUACUCACACUCAUCUUCUGUACCAUCUUAACACACUUCCUCCCUCAUUUAGUGCUGCCUACAAUCCAUACAUACACUUUUCUCACUCAUCUCAUAUCCUCCAUUUGCUCUAUUCUUGCUUUAUACCUCAGGGUCACAUUCAUAUACCUUUCCCUAAACAUGCUGCAUUCUAUGUCACCUCUCAGAGCUUCUCCUGCUGUGUACCUGUGUACCUAGGUGCAUUCAGUGCAAUCCUUGCUACUGUAUUCUUCCCCAUUUCCAACUUCUCUAAUUCACUUUCAUGCCACACAACACAACCAUAUCACACAUAGCACUCAGCACCGCCACACUCUUCCACACUUCUCUCAGCAUGUCAUACUUACUUUCUCUCAUCCUUGCUGCACUUCCCAGUCAACCCACCCAUUGGUUCACCAUGCUUAUCUUUUCACUCUGCCUUUUCACACCUAUUCAGACUCACCCACAUCCCUAAGUACUUGUAUUCUUGUGCCUGCUUCAAUUCAUUCUCUCCAAGUCUCCAUAUUGCAAUUCUUUCAUCCUCUGACCUACUCACAGUUAUAACAGUGUUAUGUUCACUGCUAAAUCUCACUCCACAGUCUCUUCCAUACUCAUCCACCACAUCUAACAAGUUCUUGAGGUCUUCUGUUAAUUCACUCAUAACCACCACAUCUACAUAUAACACCAUGCAUACCUCAUCAUUCCCAACUCUUACUCCUGCAUUCGUUCCUCUCAUCCUGACUGCUAACUCCACUGUGUACAAGCUAAAGAGGGUUGGUGACAAGAUGCACCCUUGUCUAACUCUUUUCUCACUCUACACCCAGUCUGUUAAUCUGUACUUGGCUCUCAUGUCAACAUACAUACUUCUUACUAUGUUAACUAUCUUUUCACUCAACCCAAUCUUUUCUAAGACCCUGGUCCACUUUUUUAAACAUCAUAUUAGUAAUUACAAAAGCAGCAAACCCCAUAAUUGUAUAUGGUU
This is a long non-coding RNA of Scylla paramamosain (green mud crab), 2487 nucleotides long. RefSeq lists it as uncharacterized. The record is from RefSeq and is a predicted model, not a curated record. NCBI's taxonomy places the organism in Eukaryota, Metazoa, Arthropoda, Malacostraca, Decapoda, Portunidae. The transcript has 3 exons.